This 3136-nucleotide long non-coding RNA is filed under the name Cyanistes caeruleus (blue tit). Its description in RNAcentral is "lncRNA (ENSCCEG00000015743.1)". Lineage: Eukaryota; Metazoa; Chordata; Aves; Passeriformes; Paridae. The record is from RNAcentral.
AUGAUGCCUGCCUGCCUCAGACCACAAAAAAAUGUAUCCCUGGACUCUUGUUCAUCCAAAAUAAAAUUCCCUAAGCUGGGGGAAGAAUGCAAGGGGAGCAGCUUUCUUAUUGCUUUUGCAUCUGGCUGCAAAGCUGUGGGACACAGAGGGAAUACACAGCAAGGACUGCUGCAGGUAUGUCUUGUUUCCUCAUCCUUCCUCCCUCCUCCCCACCCCCUUCCUCUGGUUUUGUUUUUAAUUUUUGGCAAUGCUGUUAACAAGCAGCCUCUGGGGAAUACAGAACCAGCACUGUGGAAAAUAAGAGGAGAGGAAACUUCCAAGCCUUUGGGAACCCAGCAUCCUCCUGGCCUCUGUGCAGAGCAACUCAACAGCAUCAGCUCGGUGUGAAAGCUGGAUCCACCCUGAGACAACAUGAGCUGCACAUCUGAGGACAUGUUCAUAAAGAAGAGAGGUGCUGCACCAAACUCCACUGCUCUCACCUCUGGUCCAGCACCCUUUCAGUUAAAUCAAGAGGCAUUUUUAUCCAGCUGUAACUGCACCUGAGUAGCUGUCCCCUUGUGCUACAAAAAUAAGACCUGAAAUUUGCCUGACAAUGCUAUUUUCCUACAUUGUGGGUGAUCCUUCCAGUGAAUUUGGCACAAGCUUUGCCCAAGUUGAAAACAAAAAGCCAACUCCUGCUAUUAUUUCUUCUAUGUAUGUCCUGAGAGAGCUGAUCUUGAAGCUGGUGAGGGUUAUUUUGUUCUCAUACCUGUCACCACAGGGCUGCUCUGAUCUAAGGUACUGGUCUAAAAUAACCAUCCAGGGCAGGGUGGAUGGUUAUACUCCAUGCUCUGGAUUUCCCAUGUCUUGAAAGCCAAAAUCCUAGCUUAAACCUGCAGUAGAUAGAGAUAGGUCCAAGCCUUUCUUACCAUCAAAUUUGUCUCCCCUGUGCACUACACUCAUUUACACCUGGAGCACACCUGGAGCAAAGCCAUGCUGCACAGGUCUCUGAAAAGGCCAUAAGUGAAUCUGAGCUCAGUGGGGCUCAAGUUCCUCCUGGAGUGGGCUGAACACAGAACAGCUGGAAGAAUGAUGGAACAACCUUUUCCUCUUUUCCUGUUCACAUGGACACUGCUCCACAGGGGCAUGGGUGGCUGGGCCUUCCCUUUGUGAUGCAAAUGCACCAGGCAGGACUGAGCAGAGAAGGGAGAGGGAACUGGGAUGUACAAGGAUGCAGGGGGAGCCCUGAGAGGAGAUCAGCUCUCUUGAGGGAUCUCCCCAGCCUUCUAGAGGAUUUCCUUCAAAAAUUAGGGGGUUCCCUAAUUUUAAAUUUUAAUUCUUAUUUUAAGCAGCUUUGAAGCCAGGUGAGACCCAGUCUGCCAUUUCACUAUGAUGUCCAAGAAAAAAAUCCAUGAAAAUUUACAUGGACACAUUUAGGUCCUAUACAGCAGGAAGGGACCUAAACAAGAGGGGAGGACCUCAGACUUACCAGACCUUUGGCAUUUCCUGACUCAGCAUUAGGGAACUCAAACCCACCUUGGCUUGCACACUGGUGUCAGGUUUUUGGUGUGAUGCAGGGCCUGGCUCUGAGCACUCUUAAAUCCAUAGGCAGAGGUGUGUGAGGAGGUCACCUGCUCCUCUGUUGUGGCUGAGCUCAUGGACAUCUCCAGCACACCUGCUCACACACACACUGAUACUGAAACUGGCUGGGAAAGGGAUAAAAGGACCCUUUUUAUGUGUCAAUGAUUUUUCAACAACGCACAGAGCAAAUUUGGCUGGGUUUAGCUUGACUUUGUGAAGCCUCAGAGAACCUUCUCAGUUCCAGACAUGGUCCUUCUCAGGCAGCAGAGGCUUGCUGGCAAAGCCAAGCCUGAAAAGUGGCAGUGGAUCUCUGUUUGCUGGGGGAAAACAUAAAGCUUCAUGGCCCAGCAUUGUCCCCCAGUUGCCAUCUGUAAAUACUAAAAUCACAUUGAAACCAAGCUAAUGAAACACUGAAAUCUAAAAUUAACAAGCCACUCAAAUAUAUAAAUGUACAGAAUUUAUAAUUCUAUUAAAUUAAAUUUUAUUCCUGCACUUGUAAUUGAAGAUAUUUAUAUAUAAUGGGAAAAAAAAAAAAAGGAAUAAGUAUUUAAGGGUAGUAAGGAAGGGCUGGAAAUGGAAAGAAGAGGGUUUGUGCUGCAUUCCUGCUGACAUAAAACUUGUGUCAUCACCCUCUUCCAUGUGUGCAUGUGCCUGUCCCACCUCAGGUGGAGAAAAUGGAGAUUAUAAAACCUUCCAAACCUCAGUCUUCAGCUCUUCUUUGGGCAGAAUGUUUUACUAUAUUGAUUUCAUUUGCAUUAAAAAUGCUUCUCUGGAAAUGAAAGGCUUGCAUCUGUCUCAUUAUUUUAGAUCUGAUCUGGCAACUGAGUUAAUAUUAAAAUGACAUAUACACACAAAUCACAUUUCCUAUGUUACAAAUAGCAGGAGCAAAGAGAAUAUACCAACAUUAAUAAUUUACCUUUUGAGCUUAGCCCUUCUUUAUUUUUCUGAAACUUCCACAAGCAGAUUGCCAUUUCCUCCAAUUUAUUCAUUAUUCAAAUUCAGUCAACAGUUUAAAAGAACAUGUUUACCUAACAGAUAGCUUGCAUUUUGCUUCCAUUUUCACUGCUCAGUAUUUGUAACAAAGUGUGAGUCACAAUCAUGUAAUUAAAUCACAUAAUAUAAUUCCUUUUCCUCAGCUAAAUCAAAAUGUAAUACUUCUGGGGAAAAAGUACUGCCAAUGUGUCUAUAAAAAUCAGAUUUCUACAAAUAGCUUUGUCUAUGUCUGAAUUUCAUCUACAUUCAUUCUCAGCCACUUGGAUGUUUAGCAAAUAAUCAUUAAAACAGACUGAGCUGUUUUAUUUCCUCCCUUCUCUGCAAAGAACGAAGGAAAAUUCAUUUGCUUUCCUUUAGCCAUCUUCAGCUUCUUCUGCCACCCAGUCACUCCUUUCCCCUUGGUCCUGCAGGUGCCAUUAACCACAACAAAAAAGGCCACUGACAGCAGCUGCCUUUUAGUUGCCUUUUAUUCACUUUUGAGCACAGUCUUUGGGGUUUUGCAGAUCCAUGGUGAAAGUGAAAACCAAUAGUAAACUAAAGAAACAUCAGGGGCAGAACAAUAAAUCUUUCACACUUCCUCUCA